CUGCUCCAGAAUAGCUCUUGGAAACGGGUGGUAAUGCUGGAUGCUCCAACUUGACGCAUGUCUUGUUGGGAAAGUGUUUAGUGGCAUGGGAUGGGGUCGCGUCCUAUCAGCUUGUAGGCGGGGUAAUGGCCCACCUAGGCUUCGACGGGUAGCCGGCCUGAGAGGGCGGACGGCCACAUUGGGACUGAGAUACGGCCCAGACUCCUACGGGAGGCAGCAGGU
RNAcentral lists this ribosomal RNA (222 nucleotides) under uncultured Gardnerella sp. Its description in RNAcentral is "partial 16S ribosomal RNA". It matches the Rfam family "Bacterial small subunit ribosomal RNA", at positions 133 to 354 of the family's 1533-position model. The record is from RNAcentral. Lineage: Bacteria; Bacillati; Actinomycetota; Actinomycetes; Bifidobacteriales; Bifidobacteriaceae.